Anguilla rostrata (American eel) is the source of this 2323-nucleotide long non-coding RNA. RefSeq lists it as uncharacterized. NCBI's taxonomy places the organism in Eukaryota, Metazoa, Chordata, Actinopteri, Anguilliformes, Anguillidae. The record is from RefSeq and is a predicted model, not a curated record. The transcript is spliced from 3 exons.
UUAUAUAAGUAAUAAUUUGGUGCCAAUCAUAGUCACUCAACAUUGCACAAUCAUUUUGUUCAGGGGCUGCUGAGACGGGUUGGUAUCAAGCGGAUUCAUAUUCUAAAAAUCAAGAAGGUGUCAAACAAGAUGUCUUUUAGCCCCACCCUCUUUCAUUUGUGUCCUUUUUUAGGUUUUUAUACAGACAAUUGCACGUUGUCAUCUGUUUGUGCCCCACUCUCACUGCCUGAGAGAAAACUCCCUCUUUUUCUGGUUGAUGUGGGACUUCUGCUCAGGUUUAUUUUGCUACAUAAUUUUUAUUCUCUUUUCUACAGAGCCCUGAUAUGUUCAUAGGUCUGUUCAGUUGUAUCUUUGAAAGCUUUCCAUCUUGGGUGACACAUUGGUUAUGUGCCACCCUGCAGGGUUGCUGGCCACAGUCAGCACUGGCAGUCAGGAUUAGUCUCAGCUAGCACCAUAUGUUUCAAAGGGCCUAUAAAAAAAGAAUUGAUGAAAAAUGUUUUUUUUUUUUUUUUUUAAAUCUUGUAAAAUAGUGUGUCGUAACACAAAACUCUCUGUCUCAUCCAGUACACUUAAGACAAGUAGAGCACUGAAACCUUAGGACCUAGGAGUUUGAGCUGGGUAAAGGAGUCUGAAACCAAGAGGCAAUGCACACAGGGGUGCCAGCCCGGGAGCUUUUUGUUACCUUUUUCUAUUUCCUUGCAUUCUACUUGCUGUGCCGAUUCCCUUGUCAAGUGCACCUUCUGUUUUAAAUAUCCAUACUGUACUGUAUAUUGAACACUCAUUGAGCCUUGAUAUGUUGCUUUACCACUGACCUCUUGAAGCCCGCUGAAUUUGGAUUCUGUUUGUCCUUUGAAUCUGGCUUUAUGCUUCUCUGAACAGGAAAUUAGAGACCAAGAUAGAUGCUACUGAGUAAUGCUUUUAUCAGGAGGUGGCAAUGAAUGUGUAUUUAUUUCUGGCUUUGCUCUCAUUAGUCCAAAUGAUGGGAGAUGAAUGGGGCGGGCAUUGAAACUGCGUAUAUAAAAGGGCAGGCAGAGCUUCAGGAGACUCAAAGAAGUGCCACAAACUGAUAUUACUGCGUUCAACAACAUCCAAGGUUGCAAUGCUAAGACCAUCUCUCUGGGCAGCAGCAGCUGCUAUGACACUCUUCAUCACUUGUGUCACAUCAAAUCCUGUCUAUAGUGAGGAAGAGUGGAAAUCCCUCAGCAACCCUCAGAGCAGGAUCCUGUUUUACCGAAUCCUUCAGUCUUACUUCGACGGCAGGGGCGAGAACCUUUUGAAUGUGGACAAAGUGGUUACGGGUUUGGACAGCAGUGCUGUGGAUUCUUACCUGGACGAACACCUACACGGGCUGCAGAGCAACAGUUUACACGAUGUUUAAAGAUUUUGUUCAAUGUCCUCGCUCAAUCGGUGUACAAUAGGCCUACUGUAUGUCGCACUCUCAGUCGGGUGGUAUUAAAAUGUUGUUUGUAUGCAGCUUCAGCUCAUUUGUGUUAUUUCAAAUCUAACAGAUUGGUUCCUCAAUCAACCAGCAGUGCAAACCGUUUCUCCUCUGAACACGAACGCGCUUAAUAUUUCAGAAGUAGCCUCAGGUCGUCGGGCAUUCUGGACAAGAAAUCAUGCGUUUGCCUGCUACUAUUCAAGGUGAAUCAACUUUUAAAACACAAGCUUUUGUGUUUGACGGUCAAUGCCACUGGCUUCUAUUAUUUGUUGCAGUAAUGCUCAGAGGAAAAGCGGAGUUAUUGAUGGUCCCUGUUCUAAAAGCAAAUUUGGCGGCUACAGUAGCCUAUCAAUUAGGCUUGUUAAAAGUUAUGUAAACUGCAAAAUUACUCACCUCUUUCCAUUAUGAUUUUAAGGUUAAGGAUACGGGCUCAACAUGCGAUCGUGACCGAGACACGCAGGUGGAAAUGCAUACGAACUUAAAAUAUUAUUAUUAUUAUCAUUAUUUGUUGUGCUAUUUUUUAUAUCCUGUUGACUUUACAAAUGUUGCUCUGAAUGCUGCUUCUUGAUCUGCUUAUUAUGAGUUUCUGAGUAUAAUAAACGGUGUAUGAUUUUUUUUUUUAUUGGGGGAGAGAGAUGAUUUGGCACCACUUAACUAGUCCUUACUAGAAGUUUGGCAUCUGACGGUGACGCCAGAUGUCGCCAAACGCGCAGUCAUAUACGCACCGGGAAUUAUUUUCUGAGAAAUCUCGCUGAUCGUUGUUGUAUCAUUGUCAACAAGCUGCGUACAAUUAUUUUCGUAUCGCAUCAUCUUUUUUCAAUGUUAGAUAAAAACAAAGACUGCUGUACAGUUGAUUAUAGAAAUAAACAUUUAAUUCAUGUUCAG